This 783-nucleotide ribosomal RNA is filed under the name uncultured bacterium. Its description in RNAcentral is "bacterial SSU rRNA". It matches the Rfam family "Bacterial small subunit ribosomal RNA", at positions 8 to 796 of the family's 1533-position model. The record is from RNAcentral.
AGAGUUUGAUCAUGGCUCAGGACGAACGCUGGCGGCGUGCUUAACACAUGCAAGUCGAACGGAAAGGCCCUUCGGGGUACUCGAGUGGCGAACGGGUGAGUAACACGUGGGUAAUCUGCCCUGCACAUCGGGAUAAGCCUGGGAAACUGGGUCUAAUACCGAAUAGGACCACAGGACACAUGUCCUGUGGUGGAAAGCUUUUGCGGUGUGGGAUGGGCCCGCGGCCUAUCAGCUUGUUGGUGGGGUGAUGGCCUACCAAGGCGACGACGGGUAGCCGGCCUGAGAGGGUGUCCGGCCACACUGGGACUGAGAUACGGCCCAGACUCCUACGGGAGGCAGCAGUGGGGAAUAUUGCACAAUGGGCGAAAGCCUGAUGCAGCGACGCCGCGUGGGGGAUGACGGCCUUCGGGUUGUAAACCUCUUUCACCAUCGACGAAGGUCCGGGUUUUCUCGGGCUGACGGUAGGUGGAGAAGAAGCACCGGCCAACUACGUGCCAGCAGCCGCGGUAAUGCGUAGGGUGCGAGCGUUGUCCGGAAUUACUGGGCGUAAAGAGCUCGUAGGUGGUUUGUCGCGUUGUUCGUGAAAUCUCACGGCUUAACUGUGAGCGUGCGGGCGAUACGGGCAGACUUGAGUACUGCAGGGGAGACUGGAAUUCCUGGUGUAGCGGUGGAAUGCGCAGAUAUCAGGAGGAACACCGGUGGCGAAGGCGGGUCUCUGGGCAGUAACUGACGCUGAGGAGCGAAAGCGUGGGGAGCGAACAGGAUUAGAUACCCUGGUAGUCC